GAUUGAACGCUGGCGGCAGGCCUAACACAUGCAAGUCGAACGGUAACAGAACUAGCUUGCUAGUUGCUGACGAGUGGCGGACGGGUGAGUAAUGCUUAGGAAUUUGCCUUUGUGUGGGGGAUAACUAUUGGAAACGAUAGCUAAUACCGCAUAACACCUACGGGUCAAAGGGGGCUUUUAGCUCCCGCGCGAAGAGAAGCCUAAGUGAGAUUAGCUUGUUGGUGAGGUAAUGGCUCACCAAGGCGACGAUCUCUAGCUGGUUUGAGAGGAUGAUCAGCCACACUGGGACUGAGACACGGCCCAGACUCCUACGGGAGGCAGCAGUGGGGAAUAUUGCACAAUGGGGGAAACCCUGAUGCAGCCAUGCCGCGUGUGUGAAGAAGGCCUUCGGGUUGUAAAACACUUUCAGUUGUGAGGAAAGGUUAGUAGUUAAUACCUGCUAGCUGUGACGUUAGCAACAGAAGAAGCACCGGCUAACUCCGUGCCAGCAGCCGCGGUAAUACGGAGGGUGCGAGCGUUAAUCGGAAUUACUGGGCGUAAAGCGCACGCAGGCGGUUUUAUAAGCUAGAUGUGAAAUCCCGGGGCUUAACCCCGGAACUGCAUUUAGAACUGUAAGACUAGAAUACGAGAGAGGGUGGUAGAAUUUCAGGUGUAGCGGUGAAAUGCGUAGAGAUCUGAAGGAAUACCGGUGGCGAAGGCGGCCACCUGGCUCGAUAUUGACGCUCAUGUGCGAAAGCGUGGGUAGCGAACAGGAUUAGAUACCCUGGUAGUCCACGCCGUAAACGAUGUCUACUAGCUGUCUGUGCGAUUAAGUGUGGGUAGCGAAGCUAACGCGCUAAGUAGACCGCCUGGGGAGUACGGCCGCAAGGUUUAAACUCAAAUGAAUUGACGGGGGCCCGCACAAGCGGUGGAGCAUGUGGUUUAAUUCGAUGCAACGCGAAC
RNAcentral lists this ribosomal RNA (942 nucleotides) under uncultured Gammaproteobacteria bacterium. Its description in RNAcentral is "bacterial SSU rRNA". It matches the Rfam family "Bacterial small subunit ribosomal RNA", at positions 27 to 966 of the family's 1533-position model. The record is from RNAcentral. Lineage: Bacteria; Pseudomonadati; Pseudomonadota; Gammaproteobacteria.